UUUCAGGCCAUGCUCAAAAGUCACAGCUUGUGCUUUCAGCUUACAGCCUGCUUAUGAUCUUCCUUUCCUGACUGCUGUUCCCAAAGCCACAGCAAACAGGAAGAAGCUAGAAGACUUUUGAGGAGCAUGGUAGAGAAAGCCUAAAGAGUCUUGAGCAAAGUGGUGCAAACUCCAUUUCUUCGCCCAUCCCCGCCCCCGCUUCUGGUAAGACUGAGAACUGGAGCAGAAGGAGGAGGGAACGUGUUUUCGGCUGACUUCAUCUUCUGCUGCUUCGUUAGAGUUCCUGUCUGGCCUGAGUAUGAUCAUCCCGACUCUGGACAGCAUGUGCACAUGAGGGCUGUAGGAAGGGCAUUCCAAGGGUAGAGAAAAACUUGACAGAUGCAAGGAAGUAUGAAAGCACAUGGCCUUUUUGGGAAGCAGCGAGGAGCUCAGUCUGACUGGAGAAGAUUCCAGUAAGAGAAAAGGGAGAGCUACCACUGUCAAAAUAGGCUGGAAGUGAUGGGCAGAGACUUGAAUGUCAGCCAAGAAGCUUGAACAUCCUUCCUAGGCAGGAAGGCAAUAUGGAGUUGCUGAAGAUGCUGUUUUCUGCUACUUCACUCAACCCUAAUCAAACCAAAUGCUUCAAAAAUCCCAACACUCAAAUGUGAACUCGUUGCUCAAAGAAACUGUCAAGUCCUCAAGACCAAAGUCUGGCCAGUUUGAGAUUAGGAUCCAUCCUCUCCAAAAGGAAGCUGUCUGGAUGCUUCUCCCUUCCUCCUGGUGAUUCUUCAAUUCAAAUCCCUUCCUUUCCCUACAUUCCCAGAAGUGAUGACACUGGCCACCUUAAUAAGCCCUUCUUGGUGACCACAGCUCUGAACUAUGAAUCCUGCCUUGAAUGAUUCUUAUUGCCAUAACCAGACUGAGGGUGGGCAGGGGCAGUGUGAGUUUAUUCUGUGCAUGUAACUGUAGGUUUUUGAUAUAUAUUCACAGCUUGUUUGCUUGCAUCUUUGCUGUCAUGAUCGCAUGUCAGCAGACAGAGUGGCCAUGACAAACAUAAGACAUGACCAUCAUCUAAUAUGAGAGUGACGUGUUCCUCACUAGUUGAAAGGCAAAAGCUUUACUUGGUGACAUAAUCAGUGGUUGUACCGAGGGACAUGAACCUACCCACUCCCUGGCUUGCACCCCUCUUGACCAGAGCCUUCCUUCUAUGAGACAGUUUGUGCUGGUGCAUCAGUGGCCAGGACUAGAGGCCAGCAGGGCCCCACAUUUAGGGCUUCAGACUUGGAAGUUCCUUGAAAAGAAAUAAAAAUGCA
Long non-coding RNA from Canis lupus familiaris (dog), 1292 nucleotides. RefSeq lists it as uncharacterized. The transcript is spliced from 3 exons. NCBI's taxonomy places the organism in Eukaryota, Metazoa, Chordata, Mammalia, Carnivora, Canidae. The record is from RefSeq and is a predicted model, not a curated record.